GAAUCGGUGCUGGGUGAAAGAUGACCAUGCCGCGGCCUGUAUUGAUGGUCGAUCAGAGGCGGAGACUGCAAUGGUGGGCGUCCAUCGAUCAUCAUUCCCACCCACCAAUUAAGUAGCAGAAGCAAGCUCCCCGCAAAAAAAAAAAAAAAAAAAAAAAAAAGAAGGUAGCAGAAGCAAGCUAAGAUAGACUGCGAGAAGAUUUGUACUACAACCAACAAUAGGGAUAUAUAUAGAAUGGAGCACUGUGAUGUUAGAUGUGCAAAGUAGCUUGAACUAGGGACUCAUAUUAAGCUGCUUCUCUCCGAUGAAGCUUGCAAACUC
RNAcentral lists this small RNA (321 nucleotides) under Oryza sativa Japonica Group (Japanese rice). Its description in RNAcentral is "misc RNA YSS1". Lineage: Eukaryota; Viridiplantae; Streptophyta; Magnoliopsida; Poales; Poaceae. The record is from RNAcentral.